RNAcentral lists this ribosomal RNA (652 nucleotides) under Bacillus sp. EECC-545. RNAcentral describes it as "bacterial SSU rRNA". It matches the Rfam family "Bacterial small subunit ribosomal RNA", at positions 77 to 714 of the family's 1533-position model. Lineage: Bacteria; Bacillati; Bacillota; Bacilli; Caryophanales; Bacillaceae. The record is from RNAcentral.
AGCUUGCUCCCUGAGAUUAGCGGCGGACGGGUGAGUAACACGUGGGCAACCUGCCUAUAAGACUGGGAUAACUUCGGGAAACCGGAGCUAAUACCGGAUACGUUCUUUUCUCGCAUGAGAGAAGAUGGAAAGACGGUUUACGCUGUCACUUAUAGAUGGGCCCGCGGCGCAUUAGCUAGUUGGUGAGGUAAUGGCUCACCAAGGCGACGAUGCGUAGCCGACCUGAGAGGGUGAUCGGCCACACUGGGACUGAGACACGGCCCAGACUCCUACGGGAGGCAGCAGUAGGGAAUCUUCCGCAAUGGACGAAAGUCUGACGGAGCAACGCCGCGUGAACGAAGAAGGCCUUCGGGUCGUAAAGUUCUGUUGUUAGGGAAGAACAAGUACCAGAGUAACUGCUGGUACCUUGACGGUACCUAACCAGAAAGCCACGGCUAACUACGUGCCAGCAGCCGCGGUAAUACGUAGGUGGCAAGCGUUGUCCGGAAUUAUUGGGCGUAAAGCGCGCGCAGGUGGUUCCUUAAGUCUGAUGUGAAAGCCCACGGCUCAACCGUGGAGGGUCAUUGGAAACUGGGGAACUUGAGUGCAGAAGAGGAAAGUGGAAUUCCAAGUGUAGCGGUGAAAUGCGUAGAGAUUUGGAGGAACACCAGUG